CCAGGCUCUGGCAACACGGUCACAGCCACGGAGGCCCUGCCUGUCCCCAGGGCCCUCACAGGGGAGGAAAGGGUCCUGCUGAGCCCCUAACUCAAUGAGCCCUCCCCAAGGGCCUCUCUAAAUAGUUCCUUCCUGCCCAGAGACCGCCCAGCACCACGUCCAACUCUCACCACCUUCCCAGGGCAUCGGCCCCCCGCACCAAGUCCUCGUGUCCAGGAAGCUGCCCACCGGUCCUCCAGGAGGCCUUCAACCAGACCCUGUCCAUGCCCAGCCAGGGCCCACCCACCUGACGGACAGCGUGAAGCCCCCCGGGCUGCUCUCGCUGGGCCUGGCAAGGAAGUCCCCACGCUGACCUCUGGAUAGGAACAGCUUCUCCGCCUCCACCCUGCUGACGUUGGGGUGAAGCCACCUGGAGUGGGGAGAGCAGGAUCUCGGACUUCCAGCCUCCAGAGCUGAGGGAAGGAGCGCCUGCCCGCCCAGCUUAUGGUCACUCCCUCAGAAGCCCAGCUGCCUGACGAUGGGUUCUUAUCUCCCAGACGGCAGAAGCUGUUCCCCGCACUGUGGCGUCCCAGCCACCCUGUCCCAGGACCUUCCUCGUCUGCAGCCCCCCAUGAGGUCAGGGCUGCCCCGGAGCCCACGUCUGAGAUCACAACUGCUCCUUACUUUUGUGGCACUGGACUCCGGAGCUCAGGACUACAUUGUACUCAGGCGGCAGCCCCAGAGCCCAGAAUGUCAGCAAAAAAGAGCCACACCUGGGCGGCUUCUGGACACCUGGCUCUUGGGCAUCUCCUGGCUGCAUAGAUGAUACCCAGGUGGGGCCUGCUGGCUCUAGGACCUCCGCCCCACGCUGGCCCAGCCUGGUUGUCAGUGGAGUCAUAACCUGUGCACGAAUGGGUGGGGGUUGCUGUGCCCUGGGCGGACCCUGCUCUGGCCCCCAUGGCUGGUCCAGAGGAGGAGGAAGGUUGAGGGCGGUCCUGCCCCCUCUGCCCCACAAAGGGCAGCUGCAGGGCUCUUUCUAGAAUGGAGGCCUCACCGCAGUCUCUGUUAAAGGCCUCCAUGACCAGGCUCAUGCCUAUAAUCCCAAUUACUCAGGAGGCGGGUGGAUUGCUUGAGCCCAGGAGUUCAAGACCAGCCUGGGCAACAUAGCCAGACCUCAUCUCACUUAAGAAGAAAUAAAAAAUAAAGGCCUCCACAGGCUUUCACCCCUGAGAAUGGAGCCAAGAUCUCCCCUCCUCUGCAGCACCCGCAGGUCCUGGCUGGUCCCCCUGGGGACCCCAUCCCCGGCUCCAGCCCACCCUGGCCAGGUCCCUCUCCCGGGGCCCCAGCUCCUCCUCCUCCUUUGGGCCCUGCCUCCACUCCUUGCAGCUCCUGCCCCUCUGCUCCCCUCUGAGCACAACUUCUGGAAGAAGUUUGUAUGGCUGUGUGAUUUGUAAAUAGGAAUGAAUUAAAAUUCAUGGCCGGGUGCGAUGGCUCAUGCCUGAAAUCCCAGCACUUUGGGAGGCCGAGGCAGGCGCAUCACCUGAGGUCAGGAGUUUGAG
RNAcentral lists this long non-coding RNA (1538 nucleotides) under Pan troglodytes (chimpanzee). Its description in RNAcentral is "long non-coding RNA NONPTRT000771". The record is from RNAcentral. Lineage: Eukaryota; Metazoa; Chordata; Mammalia; Primates; Hominidae.